RNAcentral lists this ribosomal RNA (331 nucleotides) under uncultured Flavobacteriaceae bacterium. RNAcentral describes it as "bacterial SSU rRNA". It matches the Rfam family "Bacterial small subunit ribosomal RNA", at positions 524 to 857 of the family's 1533-position model. Lineage: Bacteria; Pseudomonadati; Bacteroidota; Flavobacteriia; Flavobacteriales; Flavobacteriaceae. The record is from RNAcentral.
UACGGAGGGUGCAAGCGUUAUCCGGAUUCACUGGGUUUAAAGGGUGCGUACGCGGGUAGGUAAGUCAGUGGUGAAAUCCUGGAGCUCAACUCCAGAACUGCCAUUGAUACUAUCUAUCUUGAAUAUUGUGGAGGUAAGCGGAAUAUGUCAUGUAGCGGUGAAGUGCUUAGAUAUGACAUAGAACACCCAUUGCGAAGGCAGCUUACUACGCAUAUAUUGACGCUGAGGUACGAAAGCGUGGGGAUCAAACAGGAUUAGAUACCCUGGUAGUCCACGCCCUAAACUAUGGAUACUCGACAUAUGCGAUACACUGUAUGUGUCUGAGCGAAAG